UGAUGGCUAGUCCUCUUAACACACAAUGCUAAUACGUGUAUUCUGAAAUAAUGCCUCUGAACCAAUAGGUAAACUCACUAAUACAGAGCACCCAAAAGCCCAAAUAUGUUAAAACUAUACUGACCAGUUUGACAUAGUUAAAUCUUUAUUUCUUCAGGCUUUUAAUUCUACCAGUUUUUGUAUUCCAGAAAUGUGCAGGCCCCUAAGGUUCAGGCACCUCCCAUCUAUAUAGCCACCUAGGCUAAAGUAAAGUACAAUGCAAUGGUUUUGUGACAUAACAGGCACACUACUUCAAACAAAAUUGUUUUUUGAACAAACCCAAUGCCACCAUGGGCACUUGGGUGUUUGGGUGCAUGCCUUCAACAGACUGGAACAUACAGGAAGCAGAAUUGUUCAUUCCUUGUCGCAUCAUCCUUCCAAGUCAUAUUUAUUAACAGCCUCUUUGGGACAAGUAUGGCUUUGGUCAGCAGAGACGGAAGAAACAGAAUAAAACUAACAUUGUUAGUCAUCUUAUUUACAUUUUAAGAAAAAACACAGAUCAUAGAUUGCAUAUCUGGGCUGUUCUGGUCGAACACCUUUCUCUCGUCUGGUGAUGAAGCGCUUGUCAAACUCGAUGCCCGGAUAAGGACUCUGCCCCAGGCUGAAGAUUUCCCAGAGGAUGACACCAUAUGACCAAAAAUGUCACGCUGGGUGGAGAAGAUGCUGUCCUGGAAGCACUCGGCAGCCAGCCACUUCCACAGUAGUGGUGUCUGUGAUGAAAGACAGGUUAAUGGGCUGAAUAUUUUUCUGGUGAGAUAUGCUGACCUGUGUGUAUGUAUCUCAUCAAAAUGUUUCACUGCUACCUGCAGCUUUCUUUGUUUAUGAAUUCUUAAUACACUUUAUUGCUGUGUGUAAAAACACUGAACAAAAAAUGUUAAUCACUAAAAUAUAUUCUGAAUUGUUUAUAAACACAUUAAAAUGUUCUGAAUUGUUUAUAAAACAUGGAUUAAUAUUCCGAGUUAUAUUAGGAGUGAUUGUUUGUUGCAGAUUUCCAUUCUUAAAGGGGAAGUUGGUGGUCUCGGUUAAAACAAGCAUUCAGUAACAUGUUUCCAUAGGUAAAUUUUCUUUGUAUAAAGACUUCCUAAAAUCUUCAUGUUUUACCUGAGUAAUGUGUUUGUUCAUAAAUUAUUUCAUUCUUUGUAAUUUGUACUUAAUUUGCCAAUAAUUGCAAGUGCAGAUAAAGUAAUAAAGGCAACAGUGGAAACCUAACCUUAAGUUUUCACUAUAAGAUGGUUUGUUUACAAAAUUUCAUAUACAUUAUGUAUAAAAACUUGCCUUCAUAGAGAAAGUACCUUUGGUUUUAACCUAUUUCCAUUUACAUGAAUGAUUUUCAUUCCUGAGAAAUAAAUCAAGAUUGAAAAAAUAGUUUUACUUAAACCUUAGCCUGGGUAAAAAAUAUGCAGCACCCCAGGCUUGGGAAACUUUGAGGUCAGCCAAUUUAAGAAAGAACACACUAAUGGAAAGAUGAUGAUAGGUAAAUGCACAUGGUGUAAGAAAAGGAGUUCUAAAAAAUUUUCCCUACCUUCCACGAGAAGUUGAAAAUGACUAUUUACAACCCAUUGUGGAGCCUCUUUUAAUAAGACAAUCAUAAAUUUUACCAAGUUAUAUAUGAUUUUUCUAAUAUUUUUUAAAAUUAUAAUUAC
Molecule: long non-coding RNA, 1682 nt
Organism: Macrobrachium nipponense
Lineage: Eukaryota; Metazoa; Arthropoda; Malacostraca; Decapoda; Palaemonidae
Exons: 3
Source: RefSeq, a predicted model, not a curated record